Molecule: ribosomal RNA, 433 nt
Filed under: uncultured bacterium
Lineage: Bacteria
Description: partial 16S ribosomal RNA
Rfam family: Bacterial small subunit ribosomal RNA
Source: RNAcentral
AACGAACGCUGGCGGCAUGCCUAACACAUGCAAGUCGAACGAGACCUUCGGGUCUAGUGGCGCACGGGUGCGUAACGCGUGGGAACCUGCCUUUAGGUUCGGAAUAACUCAGAGAAAUUUGAGCUAAUACCGGAUGAUGUCUUCGGACCAAAGAUUUAUCGCCUUUAGAUGGGCCCGCGUUGGAUUAGCUGGUUGGUGGGGUAAAGGCCUACCAAGGCGACGAUCCAUAGCUGGUCUGAGAGGAUGAUCAGCCACACUGGGACUGAGACACGGCCCAGACUCCUACGGGAGGCAGCAGUGGGGAAUAUUGGACAAUGGGCGAAAGCCUGAUCCAGCAAUGCCGCGUGAGUGAUGAAGGCCUUAGGGUUGUAAAGCUCUUUUACCCGAGAUGAUAAUGACAGUAUCGGGAGAAUAAGCACCGGCUAACUCCGUG